Long non-coding RNA from Nylanderia fulva, 352 nucleotides. RefSeq lists it as uncharacterized. The record is from RefSeq and is a predicted model, not a curated record. NCBI's taxonomy places the organism in Eukaryota, Metazoa, Arthropoda, Insecta, Hymenoptera, Formicidae.
UCUGAGCUGACUUCUCCAUAUUGCAUAAUUGUGUGCAUAGUUUUUUCAAGUAUUAGACGAAACUUUUUUAAAGUCAUACAGGCCAUUUUUCAUGCACAAAAUGUGAAGAAGAGGGUGAAAUGUUUAAUCAUGUAUUACGGAGACAGAACGUUUUUGCAAAAGAACUGAUCAUACAUUUAGAACUACUGCUCAACCGGAACAUCAUAUUGGCAAAAGUGGUAUGAAAAGGCUCCUUUGUCAUAAACGGUAUGACUGGAUUUAUGGUAAACCACCCCAUAAAUUACGAGCUCGCGAUGUAAAUAAAAUUUCAGAAAAUCUUCUAAAAUUAAAGCAAUACGUUCCUUAUGAGUUU